GUGAGGAAUUUUCCGCAAUGGGCGAAAGCCUGACGGAGCAAUGCCGCGUGAAGGAUGAAGGCCUAUGGGUUGUAAACUUCUUUUCUCAGAAAAGAAUUAUGACGGUAUCUGAGGAAUAAGCAUCGGCUAACUCUGUGCCAGCAGCCGCGGUAAGACAGAGGAUGCAAGCGUUAUCCGGAAUGAUUGGGCGUAAAGCGUCUGUAGGUUGUUUAAAAAGUAUUCUGUCAAAGAUUAGGGCUUAACCCUAGAUAGGCAGAAUAAACUUUUAAGCUAGAGUUUGGUAGAGGCAGAGGGAAUUCCCGGUGGAGCGGUGAAAUGCGUAGAUAUCGGGAGGAACACCAAAGGCGAAGGCACUCUGAUGGGCCAAUACUAACACUGAGAGACGAAAGCGAGGGGAGCAAAUGGGAUUAGAAACCCGGGUAGUCC
This 426-nucleotide ribosomal RNA is filed under the name uncultured bacterium. RNAcentral describes it as "partial 16S ribosomal RNA". It matches the Rfam family "Bacterial small subunit ribosomal RNA", at positions 354 to 796 of the family's 1533-position model. The record is from RNAcentral.